Nomascus leucogenys (northern white-cheeked gibbon) is the source of this 120-nucleotide ribosomal RNA. The record is from Ensembl. NCBI's taxonomy places the organism in Eukaryota, Metazoa, Chordata, Mammalia, Primates, Hylobatidae.
GUCUACGGCCAUAGCACUCUGAACACGCCUGCUCUCAUCUGACCUCGGAAGCUAAGCAGGGUCGGGCCUCGUUAGUUCUUGGAUGGGAGAAAUUACAGUGUUAAAAAGUAAUCGUGAGUA